GGGGAUGUAGUUGAGUGGUACAACACUUGCCUUCAUAGAUAAGGCCUUGGUUGGAUGCCUAGCAUCUCUU
Molecule: transfer RNA, 70 nt
Filed under: Cricetulus griseus (Chinese hamster)
Lineage: Eukaryota; Metazoa; Chordata; Mammalia; Rodentia; Cricetidae
Rfam family: tRNA
About the family: Transfer RNA (tRNA) molecules are approximately 80 nucleotides in length. Their secondary structure includes four short double-helical elements and three loops (D, anti-codon, and T loops). Further hydrogen bonds mediate the characteristic L-shaped molecular structure. tRNAs have two regions of fundamental functional importance: the anti-codon, which is responsible for specific mRNA codon recognition, and the 3' end, to which the tRNAs corresponding amino acid is attached (by aminoacyl-tRNA synthetases). tRNAs cope with the degeneracy of the genetic code in two manners: having more than one tRNA (with a specific anti-codon) for a particular amino acid; and 'wobble' base-pairing, i.e. permitting non-standard base-pairing at the 3rd anti-codon position.
Source: Rfam by way of RNAcentral